GGGUGGACUUGUACAAGCUCACCAAGUGGACAGUCACUGCCUCUGCCCUCCUUCCUUCAGUUCAUGUGUUCUGCCCCCAGACUCUGAGCUUCUCAGGGCAGAUUAGGGAGCAGAGGUCCUGGGGCCUUGAACCUUCAUGGAGUCCCUGGGCCUUGCCCCAGUUGCUUGUCCAGGUGCAGUACUCACAAGGCAACCUUUUAGCAGGGCUGACUCAGAAGGGGCCUUUCUACCUGAGUCACUGACUUCCAGGAGCGCUCAGGCUCUGCCAGCCUCGCCCACCUGCCCAGCAGCUCUUUAGGUCACCCCAGCACAGGCGCCACCUUCCCCAACAAGACUCAACAAGGCUCCCCUGCCGCAGUCUGGUUCUUGAAGGUCUCUGCCCUGGCCAGCAUGUCUGGCAUCCCUGGCCCAUUGCCUGGCCCCGAUGCCUCUCCAGGUGUUGGGCAUCCCACUGCUGAGAGACAUAUCUUUGGCAUCUGGAAGUGUUUCAAGCCUCUAGGAGGCCUAGCUCUGCCGGUGAAUUGCUUUGUGACUAUGGUUGAGUCACACCUCUUCUCUGGGCCCCCUGAUUGAAUGCACGGUCGUCUGGGUGGGGGAGAGGUGAGGGCAUCCGUGGCUCUGCUCUGCCCCUUGCCCCCGAAGGUUGUGAUCAAGUGAGCCCUGUGAGUGGUUAGCCCGGCUGGCACAGCGCCCCAUGAGCCUGGAUGUUCUCAGGAGGGCUGUUGGGCAGGGGGAGGCUGAGUGUAAGGGGGUUUGGGGUCAUCUCCUCCUCCUGCCCCACUUAACUUUGCUUCUUUCUGUGGUGAGCCCCCACGUGUGAUUUGGUGAACGUGUUCUGCCCAUAGCGUUCUGAGAUAGACCCUAUAGGCAGAACACGUUCAGGCAGAAUGACCUCAGGUGUCUGGGUGGGAGGGAGCCACGGGCGAGUCUGAAGGAGGUGUGCAGUGAGCUCUGAAGCAUCUGGGAGGGAAAGAUUAAAUCCACCCGACAGAAACUCAGGGCCUGGGGUCAGGUCAGCCUGGGCCCUAGCAGAGAUCUGGGGCCAGAGCAGCCAUCGAGAGCCCAGCCAGCAACCCUGGGGGUGAGAGGAGCAGGGGAGCCAGAGUGGGAACCCAGGAGAGGUCUGGGUAGGAUGGGUGGUCAGAGGCCUCUUGGCUUGAGGGCAUGUCUGAGGGAAGGGGG
Molecule: long non-coding RNA, 1182 nt
Filed under: Homo sapiens (human)
Lineage: Eukaryota; Metazoa; Chordata; Mammalia; Primates; Hominidae
Description: HSALNT0222921
Source: RNAcentral